Molecule: long non-coding RNA, 782 nt
Organism: Lepisosteus oculatus (spotted gar)
Lineage: Eukaryota; Metazoa; Chordata; Actinopteri; Semionotiformes; Lepisosteidae
Source: RefSeq, a predicted model, not a curated record
UGGAUGUCUGUGGCUCCUAACAUGCGGACGCAUUGAUUAGUACUGUACUUACUAGCAGUAUUUUUAUAUUGUCCCUGACAAAUGCAUACAACCUGUGAAGGGUUAAGUGUAGCCCGCCCACGUGUAAAGACGGUUUGUGAUUGAAUGUUUUUUUUUUUUCAUUCGUGGAGACUUGAAAGUUCUUCGAGAGUCAUUAUUUCAGUCACUUAGCACGUCUUUGUACAUUCCUAUAUUGCAAAGGAACAAGCAAUAGGUUUGUUCCAUGCUGGAAAGAGAGGAAAGUAAACGCAACGUUUUCGGCCGUGGAGACUUCUUCAGUCACUUUGAAGGAAGGGUUUGGUAUCAUGGCAAGAGGCGGGGUUUUCGGAAACGUGUCCGGGGAGGGAACGCCACAGCAGCUGUCGGCAUCUGGGAACAGUUGAGACGGCGCAACGUGAUGUGGCUGUAACGCGCAUUGCUGUAAAAAUGGACUGGACAUGAGGUGCUGAAAUGCUGUUUGAAGUGCACAGCUUUGAUUCCUGUCCAGUGCAGUGAGUGAACCGUGAAGAAUUACAGGAGUAAACUGUUGGGGAAAACAGUAGGAUUCUGCAAAAUGGGUUGCUGGCAUAUUGUAUCUGGUGUCAAAGGAUCUGCAACGAUUGAAUGUCCACAUUUGAAGAUCUCUGGAUAUCCGAGGGAAACAAGGCGAUGAUGCUAAUUGGGGAGAUGCGAUGGUUUAUAGCCACUUCAUGGCUUUGGAAUGUUAAGGCAACUACAGGCAAUAAACAUCUAACUUGACUUAA